Molecule: long non-coding RNA, 542 nt
Organism: Atta colombica
Lineage: Eukaryota; Metazoa; Arthropoda; Insecta; Hymenoptera; Formicidae
Exons: 3
Source: RefSeq, a predicted model, not a curated record
UAAGUCUGAAGCCUCACUCCAUAGGCGUAAUCUUAUAGGUUCAACAUCCACAGGAAACAAUGAUAUUUCUUUAUUAAUGUCGGGUCAACAAUUAUACUAAAUCUUGACUCUACGAGCGAUCACCUUAGAAGGCGACUAUUGUACGACAACCAAAUGCGAACUAAAUCUGUUGACAGUAUACAAGAGCUCGUAUUUUUAUAAAACAAAAAUUUCGACUAUUCAAUACACGAUGGAAUUACAUAGACGAAUUCGAUACAACACAAAAUGACUCACCUAUGGCAAGGGAGGCGAACGCGAAUCGGCAGCUAAGAUAUUUCGAAAAGAAAAUGCGUUGGCGAAUGGCACGUAGUUCGCAAUUUUGCAAGUUCACAUGGCAACCAUUAGAUCGGCCAUUCGAAAAUUCUUGAGUUUCCACGAUCCAUCCGACGCUCGGUAUCCCAAGAUCGCAACUCAGCAACUCCGACGUAUGUCCUCUAACAAAUUAUCGGCUCAACCAUGAUGAGAAUGCAAGAUGUUCCGUGUACUAUUGAACAUAAUAACGA